Manis javanica (Malayan pangolin) is the source of this 3193-nucleotide long non-coding RNA. RefSeq lists it as uncharacterized. The record is from RefSeq and is a predicted model, not a curated record. NCBI's taxonomy places the organism in Eukaryota, Metazoa, Chordata, Mammalia, Pholidota, Manidae.
UGAUGUUAGGAAUGUGUUUUCCUCACUUUGGUAGCUCUGAUAUGAUAUGCUCAUCAAAACAUCAAUUUCUUUGUUGUGUCAGUGACUUUUAAAAGAGGACAAAAUUGGAACUGAUUCAGCACAUCAUAAUGGUGUUGAUGAUAGUGAUAAAAGAGAUCCAGUGACGCUCUUCUCCUUGACUUUUACUGGCAGAGUUCUCAGUACCUAAGCAAUUGAAAAAUAUGGAUGCAGGUGAUGGAAAAUCAUAGGAUCCAGAGUUUGGUUCUCUAAGUGAAGGGAACUUUCUUCUUUGAUUGGUGGAGCUAUCUUCCAAAAAGUGUGACAAAUACAAACCACAGUGUGGCUUUUUUCUCUCUCUCCCAAUGGCUUGCUUCAGAUGUGGUCCAGACGCAGAACUAUGCAACACAGCCAGUCAAUAUAGCUCUAGCUCUCUUUCUAAAGGAAAAUAAAGGGGACCUCCAGGAAACAAUAAAGUACCAAGGAGAGCUUUUAGAGGGAUAGCCUCGGGCAAUAAAUACCAUUAAGUUUUCUAUAAACUCUUGGAUGGAGCCCCAAGCUGCACAUGAGUAGAUCUGAUUCUUAUCAGCAAGUUCAAGAUAUAAUAAUCCUAAAUAUGAAUGCAUAUAUUUGCUUCAAAAUAUGUGAAGCAAAAACUACCAGAAUUAAGAGGAGAAAUAGACCAACCUUCAAUCAUAGAUGGAGAAAUCACCACUCCUUUCAGUUACCUAUAGAAUCAAUGGGUAGAAAAUCAAGAAGGCAACAGAAGAAAUGAACAUAGCCUUCACUACCUGAAACUAAUUGAUGUUUAAAGACUAAUACCCAACCACCAUGGAAUAUUCAUUCUUUUCAAGUGCACAAGACAGUCUCCAAAAAGAUCAUCUUCUGUAUCAAGAACAAGCCAUAACAAUGUUUUUAAAUCAAAACAUAUAUCUUUGACCAUAAUGAAAUUAAACUAGAAAAUAACAAAAAUAACAGGAAAAUAGUCAAUAAUUUGGAUUAAUCAACACACUUCUACAUAACCCAUAUAGUUAAAGAGAAAAAAUACUCAAGGGAAAUAAUAAAGUAUUUUGAACUGAACAAAAAUCGAAAUUAACACAAAAUUUGUGGAAUGCAAGUAAAGCAAUGCAUAGAGGGAAAUUUGUAAAAUUUAAUGUUUAUAUCAGAAGAGAUUUCAAAUCCAUAAUCUAAGCUUCUACUUAGAAUAAAGGAGAAAGUGGAGAACCAAAUUAAUCCAGAUUAGCAGAAAGAGGAAAUAAUAAAGAAAGAAGUCAAUGAAAUUUAAAACAGACUUUCAUUAGUGAAAAACAAUGAAACCAAAAGCUGCUUCUUUGGAAAGAUCUAUAGAACUGAUAAUCCUUUAGCAAUAUUAACAAAAAAAGGAGAAAAUGAAAUUACCAGCAUCAGUAUUGAAAGAAGGAAUGUCACAAAAGACUGUGAAGAGAAAGUUUAACAAUGGAAUGUGUACAACUAUAGCCACAUACAUAUGGCAACUCAGAUGAAAUGGGACCACUUAUUGUCAAGCAUAAUAGAAUAAGACCCAACAGAACAAAAGAGAAAAUUCUACAGCUAUUAAAUUUAAUUUAUAAACUCUUCCAAAAAAGAAAUUACCAGCUCAGAUGAUUUCACUGGUAAAAUUAACCAACUACUUAAAGAAAACAUUAUUUCUAUACAUCAUUAUUCUUAAAGGGAAAUAUGAAUUAUGACCAUUAUGAGCUAUCUACAUAUUAUUAGAAUAGAUAAAAAAUACUAACCAUACCAAAUACUUGAAAGUAUGCUGAGCAAACAGAUUUAUCAACCAUUACUGAAGAGAACACAAAUUGGGAUAGUCACUGUAGAGAACAGUUUGGUAGUUGCUUAAAUGUACAUUUGCUAUAUGACUCAGUAAUGUCACUGUCAUCUAAUCCAGAAAAGUAAAAACUUAUGAUGACCCAAAAACAGUACAUAAAUGUCUAGAGCAAAUCUACCCAUAAUUACACCAAACUCAGCAAUUACAAACAAUAACAAAAUGCAACAAAGUGUUGAUACAUGCAAUAACUUGAACCAAUCUAUAAGACAUAAUGCUGAUUGGAAAAAGUCCAUCUCAGAUGUUUAUAUGAUAUAUUGUUAUGUUUUGAGUUGAUUUAUAUGACAUUUGCCAAUAGCUAAACUAUAAUGAUAGAGAAUCUAUCAGUAGGGUAUGUGUGGGGCAGUGUGUGACCAUAAUUGUAUGAUUCAAGGUAGUUUUUUGGAGUUAUGGGGCAGUUUAGUGUCCUGAUUUUGGAGUUGUGACAAAAAAGAGUGAAGUUUCUUAAAAUUAUUUUAGAGCUACUCUAGAUUUAUCAGUACUUAGCUUACAAAUUAAAGAUGUUAACUUUCUGUUACUUCACCUAAGCAGAUGCAUAUCAGAUCAUUGUAGAAAUAUGUGCAGGUAAAUCUCAAAAUUGAUAUUUGAAGAAUCAUACCAGUAUUUGAUCAGUCCUAGAGAAAGAGGAUUCUGGAUCUGUCUCUCUCAAUGUCUGUCUUCCCAUAUCCUGAUUUAUCAGCCUAAAGCCAAAUUUUAAAAGCAGUAUUACAUUUUACAAUUUGAUUCUCCCUCUUUUGUAGCCUGGGACUGCUCCUUAGCAAGGUCAUACAGCCUAUCAUAUGAUCUUCUUUCAAAGGGAGGCAUGCUAAAUAAAGAUCAUUUAAAGAGAAGGUUGGUGCAUGAAAGAACUGCAAAAAUGUGAGCUUUGUUCCUAUAAUAGGGUUUAUUUUACUUUGCAUUAUAUUAUUACUCAAUUAUAUUAAGGUGAAAUUUCUCAUCUAAGUUUUAAUUCUUAUCUUAUUUUAAUUAAUUUGAGCACAGAAAUUAUGUACAAUUAUAUGCCCUGUAGAUAGCAAUAAAUGUGUUGAAAGUAAGUGAAGGUGAGAUUUUCUUUCUGAAGUAGCUGAGGUAACUCAGUGUUUCUUAUUUUGAGAUCUCUGUAAUAUGGGAAUUUUCAACAUGGGGGUUUGUACAGUUUUCAUUUUAUUCAAGAAUAGAAGUCAAAAACAUCAGUUGAAUUGCUCAUUUUUAUUAAUAUCAUAGCAAGGAAUGAUGAAGUAAAUAAAAAUUCCAGUCUGGUUCUUUGAUGUGGGGCUAAUUUUUGUUAUUUUACCAUCUCAAAGAAAUAAAAGUAUGUAAUUAAUGUACCAAGAGGAAAAAAAUAAAAAUGGCAGACUGUUUAUAUUAUUA